AGUGAACGCUGGCGGUAGGCCUAACACAUGCAAGUCGAACGGCAGCACAGUAAGAGCUUGCUCUUACGGGUGGCGAGUGGCGGACGGGUGAGGAAUACAUCAGAAUCUACUUUUUCGUGGGGGAUAACGUAGGGAAACUUACGCUAAUACCGCAUACGACCUACGGGUGAAAGCAGGGGAUCUUCGGACCUUGCGCGAUUGAAUGAGCCGAUGUCGGAUUAGCUAGUUGGCGGGGUAAAGGCCCACCAAGGCGACGAUCCGUAGCUGGUCUGAGAGGAUGAUCAGCCACACUGGACCUGAGACACGGUCCAGACUCCUACGGGAGGCAGCAGUGGGGAAUAUUGGACAAUGGGCGCAAGCCUGAUCCAGCCAUACCGCGUGGGUGAAGAAGGCCUUCGGGUUGUAAAGCCCUUUUGUUGGGAAAGAAAAGCAGCAGGUUAAUACCCCGCUGUUCUGACGGUACCCAAAGAAUAAGCACCGGCUAACUUCGU
RNAcentral lists this ribosomal RNA (491 nucleotides) under uncultured bacterium. Its description in RNAcentral is "partial 16S ribosomal RNA". It matches the Rfam family "Bacterial small subunit ribosomal RNA", at positions 29 to 506 of the family's 1533-position model. The record is from RNAcentral.